AGCAUAUCAAUAAGCGGAGGAAAAGAAAGCAACAGCGAUAGCCUCAGUAACGGCGAGUGAAGCGGCUACAGCUCAAAUUUGAAAUCUGGCUCCCUUUGGGCGUCCGAGUUGUAAUUUGCAGAGGAUGCUUUGGCAUUGGCGGCGGUCUAAGUUCCUUGGAACAGGACAUCGCAGAGGGUGAGAAUCCCGUACGUGGGCGCCUGCCUUUGCCGUGUAAAGCUCCUUCGACGAGUCGAGUUGUUUGGGAAUGCAGCUCUAAAUGGGAGGUAAAUUUCUCCUAAAGCUAAAUACCGGCCAGAGACCGAUAGCGCACAAGUAGAGUGAUCGAAAGAUGAAAAGUACUUUGGAAAGAGAGUCAAAUAGCACGUGAAAUUGUUGAAAGGGAAGCGCUUGCAGCCAGACUUGCCCGCAGUUGCUCACCUAGGCUUUUGCCUGGGGCACUCUUCUGCGGGCAGGCCAGCAUCAGUUUGGGCGGUCGGAUAAAGGUCUCUGUCAUGUACCACCCCUCGGGGUGGCCUUAUAGGGGAGACGCAAUGCGACCAGCCCGGACUGAGGUCCGCGCAUCUGCUAGGAUGCUGGCGUAAUGGCUGUAAGCGGCCCGUCUUGAAACACGGACCAAGGAGUCUAACAUCUAUGCGAGUGUUUGGGUGUCAAGCCCGGGCGCGCAAUGAAAGUGAACGGAGGUGGGAACCUUUUCGGGGUGCACCAUCGACCGAUCCUGAUGUCUUCGGAUGGAUUUGAGUAAGAGCAUAGCUGUUGGGACCCGAAAGAUGGUGAACUAUGCUUGAAUAGGGGUGAAGCCAGAGGAAACUCUAGGUGGAGGCUCGCAGUCGGUUCUGACGUGCAAAUCGAAUCGUCAAAUUUGGAGCAUAAGGGGCCAAAAGACUAAUCCGAACCCUCCUCGUAACCGGGUUCCUUGCCCAAAGUUUCCCUCCAGGAUACCCAGGAAACUUUUUUCCAGUUUUUAUUAAGGGAAAAGCGAAAUGAUUAAAAGGCCCUGGGGGGUUAGAACCAACC
RNAcentral lists this ribosomal RNA (1017 nucleotides) under Pseudopithomyces sacchari. RNAcentral's name for it is "partial 28S ribosomal RNA". It matches the Rfam family "Eukaryotic large subunit ribosomal RNA", at positions 37 to 1046 of the family's 3401-position model. The record is from RNAcentral. Lineage: Eukaryota; Fungi; Ascomycota; Dothideomycetes; Pleosporales; Didymosphaeriaceae.